RNAcentral lists this ribosomal RNA (2903 nucleotides) under Escherichia coli. Its description in RNAcentral is "23S ribosomal RNA". It matches the Rfam family "Bacterial large subunit ribosomal RNA". The record is from RNAcentral. Lineage: Bacteria; Pseudomonadati; Pseudomonadota; Gammaproteobacteria; Enterobacterales; Enterobacteriaceae.
GGUUAAGCGACUAAGCGUACACGGUGGAUGCCCUGGCAGUCAGAGGCGAUGAAGGACGUGCUAAUCUGCGAUAAGCGUCGGUAAGGUGAUAUGAACCGUUAUAACCGGCGAUUUCCGAAUGGGGAAACCCAGUGUGAUUCGUCACACUAUCAUUAACUGAAUCCAUAGGUUAAUGAGGCGAACCGGGGGAACUGAAACAUCUAAGUACCCCGAGGAAAAGAAAUCAACCGAGAUUCCCCCAGUAGCGGCGAGCGAACGGGGAGCAGCCCAGAGCCUGAAUCAGUGUGUGUGUUAGUGGAAGCGUCUGGAAAGGCGUGCGAUACAGGGUGACAGCCCCGUACACAAAAAUGCACAUGCUGUGAGCUCGAUGAGUAGGGCGGGACACGUGGUAUCCUGUCUGAAUAUGGGGGGACCAUCCUCCAAGGCUAAAUACUCCUGACUGACCGAUAGUGAACCAGUACCGUGAGGGAAAGGCGAAAAGAACCCCGGCGAGGGGAGUGAAAAAGAACCUGAAACCGUGUACGUACAAGCAGUGGGAGCACGCUUAGGCGUGUGACUGCGUACCUUUUGUAUAAUGGGUCAGCGACUUAUAUUCUGUAGCAAGGUUAACCGAAUAGGGGAGCCGAAGGGAAACCGAGUCUUAACUGGGCGUUAAGUUGCAGGGUAUAGACCCGAAACCCGGUGAUCUAGCCAUGGGCAGGUUGAAGGUUGGGUAACACUAACUGGAGGACCGAACCGACUAAUGUUGAAAAAUUAGCGGAUGACUUGUGGCUGGGGGUGAAAGGCCAAUCAAACCGGGAGAUAGCUGGUUCUCCCCGAAAGCUAUUUAGGUAGCGCCUCGUGAAUUCAUCUCCGGGGGUAGAGCACUGUUUCGGCAAGGGGGUCAUCCCGACUUACCAACCCGAUGCAAACUGCGAAUACCGGAGAAUGUUAUCACGGGAGACACACGGCGGGUGCUAACGUCCGUCGUGAAGAGGGAAACAACCCAGACCGCCAGCUAAGGUCCCAAAGUCAUGGUUAAGUGGGAAACGAUGUGGGAAGGCCCAGACAGCCAGGAUGUUGGCUUAGAAGCAGCCAUCAUUUAAAGAAAGCGUAAUAGCUCACUGGUCGAGUCGGCCUGCGCGGAAGAUGUAACGGGGCUAAACCAUGCACCGAAGCUGCGGCAGCGACACUAUGUGUUGUUGGGUAGGGGAGCGUUCUGUAAGCCUGUGAAGGUGUACUGUGAGGUAUGCUGGAGGUAUCAGAAGUGCGAAUGCUGACAUAAGUAACGAUAAAGCGGGUGAAAAGCCCGCUCGCCGGAAGACCAAGGGUUCCUGUCCAACGUUAAUCGGGGCAGGGUGAGUCGACCCCUAAGGCGAGGCCGAAAGGCGUAGUCGAUGGGAAACAGGUUAAUAUUCCUGUACUUGGUGUUACUGCGAAGGGGGGACGGAGAAGGCUAUGUUGGCCGGGCGACGGUUGUCCCGGUUUAAGCGUGUAGGCUGGUUUUCCAGGCAAAUCCGGAAAAUCAAGGCUGAGGCGUGAUGACGAGGCACUACGGUGCUGAAGCAACAAAUGCCCUGCUUCCAGGAAAAGCCUCUAAGCAUCAGGUAACAUCAAAUCGUACCCCAAACCGACACAGGUGGUCAGGUAGAGAAUACCAAGGCGCUUGAGAGAACUCGGGUGAAGGAACUAGGCAAAAUGGUGCCGUAACUUCGGGAGAAGGCACGCUGAUAUGUAGGUGAAGUCCCUCGCGGAUGGAGCUGAAAUCAGUCGAAGAUACCAGCUGGCUGCAACUGUUUAUUAAAAACACAGCACUGUGCAAACACGAAAGUGGACGUAUACGGUGUGACGCCUGCCCGGUGCCGGAAGGUUAAUUGAUGGGGUUAGCGCAAGCGAAGCUCUUGAUCGAAGCCCCGGUAAACGGCGGCCGUAACUAUAACGGUCCUAAGGUAGCGAAAUUCCUUGUCGGGUAAGUUCCGACCUGCACGAAUGGCGUAAUGAUGGCCAGGCUGUCUCCACCCGAGACUCAGUGAAAUUGAACUCGCUGUGAAGAUGCAGUGUACCCGCGGCAAGACGGAAAGACCCCGUGAACCUUUACUAUAGCUUGACACUGAACAUUGAGCCUUGAUGUGUAGGAUAGGUGGGAGGCUUGGAAGUGUGGACGCCAGUCUGCAUGGAGCCGACCUUGAAAUACCACCCUUUAAUGUUUGAUGUUCUAACGUUGACCCGUAAUCCGGGUUGCGGACAGUGUCUGGUGGGUAGUUUGACUGGGGCGGUCUCCUCCUAAAGAGUAACGGAGGAGCACGAAGGUUGGCUAAUCCUGGUCGGACAUCAGGAGGUUAGUGCAAUGGCAUAAGCCAGCUUGACUGCGAGCGUGACGGCGCGAGCAGGUGCGAAAGCAGGUCAUAGUGAUCCGGUGGUUCUGAAUGGAAGGGCCAUCGCUCAACGGAUAAAAGGUACUCCGGGGAUAACAGGCUGAUACCGCCCAAGAGUUCAUAUCGACGGCGGUGUUUGGCACCUCGAUGUCGGCUCAUCACAUCCUGGGGCUGAAGUAGGUCCCAAGGGUAUGGCUGUUCGCCAUUUAAAGUGGUACGCGAGCUGGGUUUAGAACGUCGUGAGACAGUUCGGUCCCUAUCUGCCGUGGGCGCUGGAGAACUGAGGGGGGCUGCUCCUAGUACGAGAGGACCGGAGUGGACGCAUCACUGGUGUUCGGGUUGUCAUGCCAAUGGCACUGCCCGGUAGCUAAAUGCGGAAGAGAUAAGUGCUGAAAGCAUCUAAGCACGAAACUUGCCCCGAGAUGAGUUCUCCCUGACUCCUUGAGAGUCCUGAAGGAACGUUGAAGACGACGACGUUGAUAGGCCGGGUGUGUAAGCGCAGCGAUGCGUUGAGCUAACCGGUACUAAUGAACCGUGAGGCUUAACCUU